Molecule: ribosomal RNA, 492 nt
Filed under: uncultured bacterium
Lineage: Bacteria
Description: partial 16S ribosomal RNA
Rfam family: Bacterial small subunit ribosomal RNA
Source: RNAcentral
AGUGAACGCUGGCGGUAGGCCUAACACGUGCAAGUCGAACGGCAGCACAGUAAGAGCUUGCUCUUACGGGUGGCGAGUGGCGGACGGGUGAGGAAUACAUCGGAAUCUACUUUUUCGUGGGGGAUAACGUAGGGAAACUUACGCUAAUACCGCAUACGACCUACGGGUGAAAGCAGGGGAUCUUCGGACCUUGCGCGAUUGAAUGAGCCGAUGUCGGAUUAGCUAGUUGGCGGGGUAAAGGCCCACCAAGGCGACGAUCCGUAGCUGGUCUGAGAGGAUGAUCAGCCACACUGGAACUGAGACACGGUCCAGACUCCUACGGGAGGCAGCAGUGGGGAAUAUUGGACAAUGGGCGCAAGCCUGAUCCAGCCAUACCGCGUGGGUGAAGAAGGCCUUCGGGUUGUAAAGCCCUUUUGUUGGGAAAGAAAAGCAGCAGGUUAAUACCCCGCUGUUCUGACGGUACCCAAAGAAUAAGCACCGGCUAACCUCGUG